This 497-nucleotide ribosomal RNA is filed under the name uncultured bacterium. RNAcentral describes it as "partial 16S ribosomal RNA". It matches the Rfam family "Bacterial small subunit ribosomal RNA", at positions 28 to 507 of the family's 1533-position model. The record is from RNAcentral.
GAUGAACGCUGGCGGCGUGCCUAAUACAUGCAAGUCGAGCGAACAGACGAGGAUCUUGCUUCUUUGACGUUAGCGGCGGACGGGUGAGUAACACGUGGAUAACCUACCUAUAAGACUGGGAUAACUUCGGGAAACCGGAUCUAAUACCGGAUAACAUGUUGAACCGCAUGGUUCAACAGUGAAAGACGGUCUUGCUGACACUUAUAGAUGGAUCCGCGCCGCAUUAGCUAGUUGGUAAGGUAACGGCUUACCAAGGCAACGAUGCGUAGCCGACCUGAGAGGGUGAUCGGCCACACUGGAACUGAGACACGGUCCAGACUCCUACGGGAGGCAGCAGUAGGGAAUAUUCCGCAAUGGGCGAAAGCCUGACGGAGCAACGCCGCGUGAGUGAAGAAGGUCUUCGGAUCGUAAAACUCUGUUAUUAGGGAAGAACAAAUGUGUAAGUAACUAUGCACGUCUUGACGGUACCUAAACAGAAAGCCACGGCUAACUACGUG